GACGAACGCUGGCGGCGUGCCUAAUACAUGCAAGUCGAGCGGACGGAUGGGAGCUUGCUCCCAGACCGUCAGCGGCGGACGGGUGAGUAACACGCGGGCAACCUACCUGUAAGACUGGGAUAACUCCGGGAAACAGGGGCUAACACCUGAUAACUCUUUCCCUCACAUGAGGGAAAGCGUAAGGGUAGCAUCUUGUUACCACUUGCAGAUGGCCCCGCGGCGCAUUAGAUGGUUGGUGAGGUAACGGCUACCCAAGGCGACGAUGAGGAGCCGACCUGAGGGGGGGGUCGGCCACACUGGGGCUGAGGAACGGCCCAGAAGCCUACGAGAGGAAGCAGUAGGGAAUAUUCCGGCAUGGAGGGAAGUAUGACGGAGCAGCGCCGCGUGAGGGAUGAAGGUUUUCGGAUCGUAGAACUCUUUUGUCAGGGAAGAAGAAGUACCGGAGUAACUGCCGGUGCCUUGACGGUAGCUGAACAGAAAGCCACGGCUAACUACGUG
RNAcentral lists this ribosomal RNA (498 nucleotides) under uncultured bacterium. Its description in RNAcentral is "partial 16S ribosomal RNA". It matches the Rfam family "Bacterial small subunit ribosomal RNA", at positions 28 to 507 of the family's 1533-position model. The record is from RNAcentral.